UGGCAUGUCAAGCGAUGCUAGGUCUGUGCUGGGGAUCCGAACCUGCAAACCGUGGGCCGCUAAAGCAGUGUGUGAACUUAACCACUGUGCUACAGGGCCAGCCCCUUCUCAGCAUUUUUAAGACAUUGGUCUACUGUCUUCUAGCUAACUCUGUUGUGGUUGAGAAUUCUCAAGCCAUUUUGAGUUCUAAUAUUUUAUUUGUGACUUUUUAUGAUGGUGAGCAUUCCCUGGAAGCUUUAAAUCUUUCUGUUUGUCUCGAGCAUUUCGUGAUGAUGUGCCUUUAAUGUGGAUUUACAGUUGUCCACUGUGCUGAGCUCAGCCCCAGAGAAUCUUGUUUCCACCGAGCCAAAAUCUUAUAAGGUCUAUAAAGGAAGCAGAGAAGGACCUAUUAUUGCAAUUUUGCAAGUGAGGAAAUUGAGGGUCAAAAAAGAUGGCCGUCAAGGAAAGAGCUGGAUGUCACCCCCAGGUCUCCUGGCAACCAGACUCCAGAGCUCUUGUUAUUUUGAGGAAGAGGGAUGAGAUUCAGCUCUCAAGCAUGAAGCUUUGGACUGAAAUCAAAUACCUGCUGUAGGACUGAAUCAGACUGACAUCGAGCAUUAUCUCCCGCAGAGACACUUCAGAUCAAGGGACUUAACUCUUUUCCAAGCCCAAGACACCAAGAAUGUCAAGUACUUUGGGAGUCCUUGUGUUUUGAGGCUCAAACAUCAGAUAACUGAACACCAAGGUGUUUAUUGAAGUGAGCCAGUUGCAUUGUUUUCUGACUCUGGCAGGAAAAAUAAAGUGGAGUUACUCUCUAAAUAAACUUUACUGCUUGAACACCCAUCACAUUUUGACCCUCGAAUUCCCCUACAGCUGAAAUGCACGCAUGAUGGUGGGAGUUGAAGCAUCCAUCUUGUACUAUUAAAUGACAGGAGUGUGUAGGAAAGGUGUAUGUACUUUUACAUGAAAAAUGCGUGUAUAGCAACAAGAAAGAAGGAACCUGCAUUCCGGAUGAUUGUGGGGCUGCCAUAUCAGCCCUGGACCACCUACCCAGCCUUUUACGUGACUGAGAAAUAAAAUAACUUUGAUAAACCACCAUGACUUUGCAUCUCUCUG
Molecule: long non-coding RNA, 1095 nt
Filed under: Equus caballus (horse)
Lineage: Eukaryota; Metazoa; Chordata; Mammalia; Perissodactyla; Equidae
Description: lncRNA (ENSECAG00000034201.3)
Source: RNAcentral